Molecule: ribosomal RNA, 497 nt
Filed under: uncultured bacterium
Lineage: Bacteria
Description: partial 16S ribosomal RNA
Rfam family: Bacterial small subunit ribosomal RNA
Source: RNAcentral
GAUGAACGCUGGCGGCGUGCCUAAUACAUGCAAGUCGAGCGAACAGACGAGGAGCUUGCUCCUCUGACGUUAGCGGCGGACGGGUGAGUAACACGUGGAUAACCUACCUAUAAGACUGUGAUAACUUCGGGAAACCGGAGCUAAUACCGGAUAAUAUAUUGAACCGCAUGGUUCAAUAGUGAAAGACGGUUUUGCUGUCACUUAUAGAUGGAUCCGCGCCGCAUUAGCUAGUUGGUAAGGUAACGGCUUACCAAGGCAACGAUGCGUAGCCGACCUGAGAGGGUGAAAGGCGAAAAGUGAAAUGAGAAACAGUCCAGACACCUACGGGAGGCAGGAGUAGGGAAUGGGAAGCAACGGGCGAAAGACGGACGGAGCAAGGACGAAUGAGAGAUGAAAUUCAUCGGAUAGUAAAACGCUGUUAUUAGGGAAAAACAAAUGUGUAAGUAACUAUGCACGUAUUGACGGUACCUAAUCAGAAAGCCACAGAAAACUACGUG